CCCCUAGAUGUUCUGGGCCGCACGCGCGCUACACUGAACAGUUCAACAAGUCUUAACCUUGGCCGAUAGGUCUGGGUAAUCUUUGAACGCUGUUCGUGAUUGGGAUAGACCUUUGCAAUUAUGGGUCUUCAACGAGGAAUUCCUAGUAAACGCAAGUCAUCAACUUGCAUUGAUUACGUCCCUGCCCUUUGUACACACCGCCCGUCGCACCUACCGAUUGAAUGGUCCGGUGAAGCCUCCGGAUUGGCGCGCACCUCGGUGCCGCCGAGAAGUUGGCUAAACCUUNCNAUUUAGNGGAAGGUGAANUCGUANCA
Molecule: ribosomal RNA, 314 nt
Filed under: uncultured eukaryote
Lineage: Eukaryota
Description: partial 18S ribosomal RNA
Rfam family: Eukaryotic small subunit ribosomal RNA
Source: RNAcentral